Molecule: long non-coding RNA, 3186 nt
Organism: Oreochromis niloticus (Nile tilapia)
Lineage: Eukaryota; Metazoa; Chordata; Actinopteri; Cichliformes; Cichlidae
Source: Ensembl
CCGGGCUAGUUCAAUAAACAACCUGCGCUCCUUUCUGUGUUAAGUAUCCCAAGAUGCCUCUGUGUGUGUGUGGGGGGGGGGACCAACAAACAUGACACUCUUUUGUCAUGUUUGUUGGUCAUGGUCUCUGUAAAAUCAGUCACGCGGAAAUGGCAGCACCCCAAAAAAGCAAAUAAUUAAAAAACAACACAGAAAAUGAUUGAAAACAGAUCCUAAUUUUUACCACAAGCCUCUGGAAGUGGUUAAAACAGUUCCUUUAUUACCCACACACAUCCAAAUAAACCAAAUCUCAAACUCAUGUUACGCCUCUCAGACUGUAACAUGAGACGAGACGGACACGCCUCCUAACACGAGAGAGAGCUCACACCACACGCUGAAUAUCCUCCACUCUCUUUCUCUCAGCACUGAGAUCAUCCUUCCUGACCUAUGAUGUCGGGUGGUGCUCUCUCCGUCUUUUUUGCUCUCUGUGUGCUUUUAGAUGGCUGCUGUGGAAAACCGGCGAUUCUGGGAGAGUCUGUAGAGUUAUCAGCUGAUGUGAAGUGUGAAGCGCAGGAAUUCAGUCUGAUCUACCGGCUGAGGGAUGACAGUCCUCGGACUGUGGCCCAGCUGGUAAACGGUGUCUGGAUCCCGGGAGAGAGCUACAGAGAGCGGGUGGAGCACAGCUCCACGGGCAGCUUGUUGCUAACCCAUGUGAACUACAACGAUCAAGGCUACUACGAGUUCACCUGCGCCGGGCAGGUUGUCACCACCAUCCAGCUGGAGGUCCUCAUCAUCUCCAACAACAACCUCUCUGUGCCUGAAGGAGACACGCUCACGCUGCCGUGUUAUUUCCACACUGAGGGGGACUCCGUGGACUCUGUUGUGUGGGAAAGAGACGGGGAGCUGGUGCUGAACCAGAGCCUCUCCUCCGGGAAGCUCAGACAUGGGACUGGGUUUGAGGGCAGAGCGUCUGUGAAGUCUGACUGGUUUGUACUGGGAGACCUGUCACUGACGGUGGAGCGGGUCCAGCUGGUGGACCGAGGUGACUUCUUCUGCUGUGUUAAUAAAGGCAGCAGAGAGAGCGGGAAGUGGAGAGAGAGGGGCAGCCCUGCAGCUGUGAGAGUGACUGUCAGUGAGAGGAGCACCAACAUCAGCAGCAUCUCUGCUCCCCCCACACGUGAAGCAGAGACACACACGGCAGCUUGUGUCACUCCCAUCAUCAUCACAGCCGGCAUAACCCUGCUGCUCUCUGCUGCUGCUGCUGCUGUGUGGUUGGUUUGGAGGAGGAAGUCCCGCAGAUCAGGAUCCACACCUGACGGCUCUGAUGGAGGACCUGCCAGUGACGUGGAGACGACACCUUUCACUGAGAGAGGCUCUGACAGAGGGACGUUCAUCGGAUAACUGAAGCCUGUGUGUGUGGUUUCUACACAAACACGACCUCUGCUGUGAUACUCUUUAUAAAAAAUGUUAUGGAUUUUUUUUGUAUCUUGCUCCUUGCUUUAGCCUCACUUCCUGUUCCUGUAGUUUAUAAGUUUUAUAAGAUGUAAAUAUCAGCUUUUCUGCCAAUAAAUAUCUGAGAUUUUAAUGUUUGAUCAUGUUUGUUUCAUGUUUUCGUGUCUUCCAGAGUGUCCCUUUGCCUUUUCUCCAGAAAUCUGGCAAUAUUAAAAUAAUAAAUGAAACAAAUAAAUAAAGUAGCUUAAAAAAACAAAACAAAACAAAAAAGUUAAAUGGAAAUGUGGAAAACUGAUUUAAGAAACAAACAGAAGUCAAGCUAAGAAUAAGAGAAAAGGCCAGACAACAGGUUGUUUGGUAUGACGUCGACAGAUCAAAGGGUGAAAGGUCAGAAAGUACAAAAAUAUCUCCCAGCAUGCCCCUCUGCCAUCAAAACGUCCCGUUAAUUGUUUUCACUUUAAACAAUGCUGUAAAUGAGUAAAUACAUUUCGAUAAUGAAUUUUAGCUCUGCAUGAAUGACGUUAAACUUCGGUAGUUUCACAACAAACAGUCGUGACUUAAACGUGUUAGUCCAACUUUCAUGUCAGCUUGGAAAUUUACAGCAAACAUGUGCAAACGUGCAUGUAGCUGCUGUGCUCUGCUGUUCUGUAUUACUUUUCGUCCCACGGUGAGUCACUCUGUCACUCUGAAAUGUAUUUGGGACUCAGCCAAAAAGUAACAACGGGGAAUACUGAAGCUGCUUGUGUUUAGUUUCUCGACACAGGCCACACCAUGACAUCGUGUGAAAUUUUAGACAGUUUACAUCACAGCCUCCCAUGAAAUCUGUCUGAAAGCGCUGAAUUUACCUAUCCCUGUAGUUUGUGUCAGAUUUCUGCAAAUGAAGAUUAAUCUGAAUUUUGAAGUUUGUUCGGUUUUUGUUUGUGACAAAGUGCUCUUGCCCCGCUAACCAAGCAGAGAUUUGUUUUUGUUGGCAUCCCAGUGUUGUAAGAAAUCUAUUUAUUUAUUUACUUACAUACAGUGGCGAACACUUGCUCUGCGUGAGACUGAGAUGACCAAAAAGCAACUCACCACACAGGAAAUCAUUCCUGCCCGUGGGCAUCUCCCUGUACAACACCUCCAUCUAACACACUGUGAACACUGCAAUAGUUACACCAUUUUUACACACGCUCUUUUCUAUUCUGGAAUAUUCUUGUCAAUUUUCUUGAUAUUUAUUUAUAAUCACCUCUGUUAAUCCUUGAUAUUUAUAAUUGAGUGAUCUGUAUAUAUUAGUGCUAUUUCUUAAAUGUGUAAAAUCUGUAACAUAAGGUGUUGUUUGGAGUUUAGUCUGUUACUGUUACUAUUUUUUACCAUUUCUUCUUGGAGCAACUGUAACCCACAUAAUUUCCUUAGGGAUUAAUAAAGUAUUCUGAUUCUGAUUGUUUCAGGAUGACCUGCCAUGAUCCAAUGACACAUCUGCUUACCUGUAUAUUUGGCUCAUUUCUCCUCCUCUUCUUUUCUCUUUUUUCUAAACUGAGCACCUGAUGACUUUGAACUUUUCUUGUCCAUCUUCCAUUGGUUUUAAUUUUGCACUCCAGUAUGAACACCCAUCCCCCAACUCGAGGAUCACCACAACAUAACCUAAUAGACCUACACCUUAGUUCACAGAUUGCGGUGUAUUUCUGGGAUUUCACACAACCCAGGAUUCAAAUCAUGAAUACAUAAUGGGCUUGGAUUUACAACAUUAUGAAUGAAAUGUGUUCUAUUUGGAAGCAGCCG